UUACUCUUCAAUAUAACCUUAGGUGAGUAGAAACCAGCUGGAUUUGUGGUAUUUCCAGCUCUUAGGAUUUGAUGGAUUUCCAUGAGUAAAAACCUGCCCUUAGGAUUUGAUGGAUUUCCAUGAGUAGAAACCUGAUUGUAAUUGAUUUAUUUCCAGCCUUUGGGAUUAAAUGAAUUUCUAUAAGUAGAAACCUGGCUGGAUUUGAUGUAUUUCCAGCUCAUGGAAUUUGAUUGCUGGAACUAAUGUAUUUCCAGUCCUUGGGAUUUGAUGGAUUUCCAUUAGAAGAAACCUGGCUGGAACCCAAUCCUAAGCAGAUAUCCAUGUACUCACACAAGCACAAGAGUGAGAAUUGGACUCAAGAAAUGGAAAAUUUGAUGUUGCCUAUGUAUACAUCUUGAACCCAUUCUUGCAGUAUGGAGUGACCAAGUCACUUCUUUCUCCAGGAACAAUGAGGCAAUACUAUCUUUUUCUUCUGUUGUUUAAAUCUCCAAACUCUAGUUUUCUAUCCAUUUCUAAUGUGGAUUUUCACAAAGAAGGUUCAGAAAGAUCACUGUUCAUGGCAUUUCAGCAGAAUCUCAUAGAGCAGCCCUAUCCUGCCAUUUGGACUUCAAAUUGAAGAUAGCUUUUUUCUCAAAUCGAAGAAAGUUGUUUGUCAUUCCCGAAGAAUGGAACAGGUUUGUGAAAGAGAGAGAGAGUUGAAAGCUAAUAAUCGAUGCAACCACAAAGGGCGAAGAAAGAGAUGAUAUAUCGUUAUAGAGUGACGAUAUGGCGUUACAACUUGGCUGGGAACAGAAACCUUGGAUUAUGUUAAAUAGUGGAAGAAGGCAGGUAGUGUUUUGCUGUCUAUUGGAGGAUAGGAAAUAAGAAACAGCAAAGUUUUUUUUAUGAUUUAUUUAUUUAUUUUUGUAAAGAAGCUCAAGCUAGGGUUUGCUGAAAUCCAGGCCCUAAUGAUCUUUAAUUAGAUAACCAUCAUUACACAUGAUAUUUGUGGAAAGUUAAGACAAAA
Macadamia integrifolia is the source of this 1006-nucleotide long non-coding RNA. RefSeq lists it as uncharacterized. The transcript has 2 exons. NCBI's taxonomy places the organism in Eukaryota, Viridiplantae, Streptophyta, Magnoliopsida, Proteales, Proteaceae. The record is from RefSeq and is a predicted model, not a curated record.